RNAcentral lists this ribosomal RNA (253 nucleotides) under uncultured bacterium. RNAcentral describes it as "partial 16S ribosomal RNA". It matches the Rfam family "Bacterial small subunit ribosomal RNA", at positions 524 to 776 of the family's 1533-position model. The record is from RNAcentral.
UACGUAGGCAGCAGGCGUUGUUCGGAGUUACUGGGCGUAAAGGGUGUGUAGGCGGUCCUUUAAGUUUGGUGUGAAAUCUCCCGGCUUAACCGGGAGGGUGCGCCGAAAACUGAGGGGCUAGAGUGCGGGAGAGGAGAGUGGAAUUCCUGGUGUAGCGGUGAAAUGCGUAGAUAUCAGGAGGAACACCGGUGGUGUAGACGGCUCUCUGGACCGUAACUGACGCUGAAACGCGAAAGCGUGGGGAGCGAACAGG